UGGUCUCAUGGGGAGGUGGUAAAGGUGGACUCGGAGGGCCGUUAAAAGCACGUUAGAAACCGAGAGAAGACGGUUCCCUGCACAGGCUCGCACAGCGCACACACGGGACCGCCUGCUCCUCAGGUGCCUGGAGCAAGGAGACCCUCCCUCCCCAGCAUGGGGAGCCUCUUGCAUAAACCCACAAAAGGCCUCGUAGAUAAUCUCACGUGUCUGGACGUGGGACUCCUCACGCGUGUGUACCAGGCUCGCCGAAAUUCACUGGGAAGGCCCCGGAGGAGGAAGAGGAUAUCAGCAGCAAGAGAAGAGAAUCCCUCUUCUUUAUGGACCCUACCUUCUGUUGGGAUGGCAGACAUGAUAAAGGAACAAGAUAAAUAAGGCACGUAUAAUGCACAUUAGAGAGUGACACAUGUUGAGAAAAAUAUUAAAUUGGGAGGGAGGUGGGAAAUAGGGUUGGAGCCCUUGUGUAUCCGUCAGCUGUUGCUAUGGUGAUGCUACGUAACAAACAUCCCAAACCUCAGUCGCUUGCAAACUCUGACAUUUAUUUCUCGCUCAGGGGUUCUGCUUCAGACCUCGGGAUGGGUUUAGGUCUCCACCUGUGUCUCUGCCAGUGCUCAGACUGAGGGCAGCGUCUGCUGGGCAUUCGCUUCUUGCGGUGCAGGGUCGAACCCCCCA
RNAcentral lists this long non-coding RNA (672 nucleotides) under Sus scrofa (pig). Its description in RNAcentral is "lncRNA (ENSSSCG00005002295.1, ENSSSCG00065012171.1)". Lineage: Eukaryota; Metazoa; Chordata; Mammalia; Artiodactyla; Suidae. The record is from RNAcentral.